This 473-nucleotide ribosomal RNA is filed under the name uncultured bacterium. RNAcentral's name for it is "bacterial SSU rRNA". It matches the Rfam family "Bacterial small subunit ribosomal RNA", at positions 28 to 507 of the family's 1533-position model. The record is from RNAcentral.
GAUGAACGCUGGCGGCGUGCCUCAAACAUGCAAGUCGAGCGAGGCUAUGAAUUACCGCAAGGUAAGGCAUAGCCUAGCGGCGAACGGGUGAGUAACACGUGGGUAACCUACCUGGAAGACAGGGAUAACGAUUCGAAAGGGUCGCUAAUACCUGAUAAUAUCCGUCUGCCGGAUGGCGGAGGGAAGAAAGGGGAAACCCGCUUUCAGAUGGGCCCGCGUCCCAUCAGCUAGUUGGUAAGGUAAAGGCUUACCAAGGCGACGACGGGUAGCCGGUCUGAGAGGAUGUACGGCCACACUGGGACUGAGAUACGGCCCAGACUCCUACGGGAGGCAGCAGUUGGGAAUCUUAGGCAAUGGACGAAAGUCUGACCUAGCGACGCCGCGUGAGGGAAGAAGGCCUUCGGGUUGUAAACCUCUGUCAUGGGGAAGAAGGAAGUGACGGUACCCCAAGAGGAAGCCCUGCUAACUACGUG